UCUCUGCACAUCUAGUAAAAUUUAUAGAAAGAGUUUUUACUAUACUAUACUACUAUCCUAACACUAGGUGUCUCUAUACACAAGCUUAAACUGAAGCACUGUUAAUAUGGAGCAACUUUGAACUGUCGUCUAGGGACUUUUGGGGAAAUUGUUCAGGGGCUAUACAUGCAUAUAUUUUUUUUGUCAAUGCAGAUGAUUCAGAGUUUGACAUUAGACACUUGAACUGUCCAUCCUUUUAUUCUGUGCAGAAACACCCCAACAAAGGUCUUGGUUUUGAACUUAACCAGAAGUUUCAUACACUGCAUGUGCAAAAAUGAUAAAGCAGCUGUGUUAGAAGGCAGGAAAAACACGCUGUGUGUCUCGGACAACAUUAUUCCCUCAAUCCCUCCCCUCCAGGGUUUGCCUUAAAUCCUGGAUGGAAGCGGAAAACCUGGCAGAGCAGGAGGAGGAGAUGAGGUGAGAUGUUCCUCCACUGGGUCCUCCUCCUUCCUGUGUCAUCCAUUCACCUUUCUUCACUGUGUGGCAGUACAAAUAGAAGAGAAAAAAAGACCUCUGCGUGUCUCUGCAUGUGUGUGAGGAUGAGGCCGGGUUUUGUAUUCUUUCUGCAUUAUUUAUCCUUUCCCUUUCAGCCCAACCAUUCUAUUUUCAGCCGAUUCUUCAUCUGACGUCCUGCCCUGGAGGGGGUUAUCUGGGGUUGGCCCGAGACACAACAGCACCAUAUUAUAAACACAUGUACGUCUCGCCCACAGGAAUAGCGGAGGUUAGCGUGGUCUGGAAGUGACGUGUAAAAGGGUUUGUGGUCUGCUUUACUUUCUCUCUGCUUUUGUGCAGUUGGAGGAAAUGCAUACAGUGCAGUCGUUCAAAGUGCUUGACAUUUUCAUUUGCUUGUUUUUCUAGAUGUGUUGUGGUCGUCAAAAGUAGUUGUUGAGCAGUGUACCUGCGUGUGAGCCCCUAGUCUACAACCAGGCCCCCAGUGAACAAUGAAGACUGCAAAGAAGAAAGCUGUAGGUGGGAUCGGUGUAUUAGCGGCUGGCUGCAGCAACACAACCAGGAGGACUUUGACUUGGAUAGCAGACGCGCUAUCCGACGCUAGCCGCUGACCGCAUCGAUGAUCGGGUGAAGUCCUUCGUCGCUCCGUCCAUCGCUGGAACGCAGGUGCAGUCAGGUGAUGUCUGAAGGAGCAGCUUCAUAUAAUUGCACAUCUUCACGACCUUCAUGCAGUCAUCAAUUGUACUCAUACCUGCUGAACCCAUUGAGUAAGAUAUGUUCUCCAUUUUUGAUUUGCAUAUUUAAUCAUAUCACUUUAGAGUUACACUACCGUUCAAAAGUUUGGGGUCACAUUGAAAUGUCCUUAUUUUUAAAGGAAAAGCACUGUACUUUUCAAUGAAGAUAACUUUAAACUAGUCUUAACUUUAAAGAAAUACACUCUAUACAUUGCUAAUGUGGUAAAUGACUAUUCUAGCUGCAAAUGUCUGGUUUUUGGUGCAAUAUCUACAUAGGUGUAUAGAGGCCCAUUUCCAGCAACUAUCACUCCAGUGUUCUAAUGGUACAAUGUGUUUGCUCAUUGGCUCAGAAGGCUAAUUGAUGAUUAGAAAACCCUUGUGCAAUCAUGUUCACACAUCUGGAAACAGUUUAGCUCGUUACAGAAGCUACAAAACUGACCUUCCGUUGAGCAGAUUGAGAGAUCACAUUUGUGGGGUCAAUUAAACGCUCAAAAUGGCCAGAAAAAGAGAACUUUCAUCUGAAACUCGACAGUCUAUUCUUGUUCUUAGAAAUGAAGGCUAUUCCACAAAAUUGUUUGGGUGACCCCAGACUUUUGAACGGUAGUGUAUGUUAAAAGAGGAUUAAAAAUACCAUGUUCCAGUUCACUGCUUUUAUUAAACCUUAGAUGUUGAUGAUAAUCAUAUUUUCAAUACCCUCACGCAUUUGUCCUUAAUUAAGAUUAAAGAUUAAAGUACCAAUGAUUGUCACACACACACUAGAUGUGGUGAAAUUUGUCCUCUGCAUUUGUCCCAUCACCUUGGGGAGCAGUGGGCAGCAGCGGCGCCGCGCCCGGGAAUCAUUUUGGUGAUUUAACCCCCAACUCCAACCCUUUGUUGCUGAGUGCCAUGACAAAAAAUGCCAGCUUUCUUAUAAAAAGCUUUUCGGUUUGAAAUAUAAAUAUAACAUAUGAUUUGGGAGUUUUAACUCUUUGAAGGACAGUAUGUUUACAGAGCUCCACUGUUUGAAAAAAACACUUUUCCCUAAAUACACACCAUUAUCCAAGUUCAAGACACACACAGAACACUGUGCAAAGAUUGACAUUUUGCUGCAUGCUUUGAAUGGGAAAAUAUAGCGUCGUCGUGUGGUCAAAUACAUGCUAUGUGGACAAAAACAAACAUUAGGUAGUGAAAGCCACUAGUCCCAAAUGAAAUCUUAACAUAAAAGACUGCAUUGGUUUAUGGUCAAAGGGUGAAACAAAAAUGGCAUUUUCAUUGAAUUUGAAUGGGAGAUUAUUUUUGUCAAGAGGAACAAAUAUGUCGCUUUUGUACUAUUACCAUCUUGGGCUAAUUUAAAGAACAGUGAUAACACCCCCCCUUAAUCCCCCCAAAAAAUCAUUUGGCAAAUUCAACAUAUUCAUUACUUGUCCAAUCACAAAAUGUGCAAUAAUGAUAGUAUUAUUAGGGAUGUAACAUGUUAUCAUGUAUGGAUACAACUCUUCCUAAAUUUGUAUCU
Long non-coding RNA from Entelurus aequoreus (snake pipefish), 2715 nucleotides. RefSeq lists it as uncharacterized. The transcript has 3 exons. The record is from RefSeq and is a predicted model, not a curated record. NCBI's taxonomy places the organism in Eukaryota, Metazoa, Chordata, Actinopteri, Syngnathiformes, Syngnathidae.